RNAcentral lists this ribosomal RNA (601 nucleotides) under uncultured archaeon. Its description in RNAcentral is "bacterial SSU rRNA". It matches the Rfam family "Archaeal small subunit ribosomal RNA", at positions 319 to 923 of the family's 1478-position model. The record is from RNAcentral.
UCCCUAUGGGGUGCAGCAGUCGCGAAAACUCCGCAAUGCACGAAAGUGUGACGGGGCUAUCCCGAGUGCCAUCCGCUGAGGAUGGCUUUUCCCCAGUGUAUAAAGCUGGGGGAAUAAGGAGAGGGCAAGCCUGGUGUCAGCCGCCGCGGUAAUACCAGCUCUCCGAGUGGUGGGGAUGCUUAUUGGGCCUAAAGCAUUCGUAGCCUGCUUGGCAAGUCCUCCGUUAAAUCCAACGAUUCAAUCGUUGGGCUGCGGGGGAUACUGUCCGGCUAGGGGGCGGGAGAGGCCGACGGUAUCCUCGGGGUAGGGGUGAAAUCCUAUAAUCCCGGGAGGACCCCCAGUGGCGAAGGCUGUCGGCUAGAACGCGCUCGACGGUGAGGGAUGAAAGCUGGGGGAGCGAACCGGAUUAGAUACCCGGGUAGUCCCAGCUGUAAACGAUGCAGGCUAGGUGUUGGGGCGGCUACGUGCCGCUCCAGUGCCGCAGGGAAGCCGUUAAGCCUGCCGCCUGGGAAGUACGGCCGCAAGGCUGAAACUUAAAGGAAUUGGCGGGGGAGCACCACAGGGUGUGAAGCUUGCGGUUUAAUUGGAUUCAACGCCGGGA